RNAcentral lists this long non-coding RNA (243 nucleotides) under Homo sapiens (human). RNAcentral describes it as "non-protein coding LINC01248:10". The record is from RNAcentral. Lineage: Eukaryota; Metazoa; Chordata; Mammalia; Primates; Hominidae.
UGUUUCUUUAUUGAGUCCCUACUACCUCUACGGAUAUUCUGGGGGCAAUUAAAGAAAAUCACCGCUUCAUAGGCAGCACAUAUUUCCCAUAGAAAUGUGGAAUGUAAGAAAGGCACAUAAAGCAAUCCAAGUUGCCUGCAGAUAUCCACAGCCUACUUCAGUCUCAGUAAUGCUCUUUUAACCUGGCUAUAUGGAGAGUUGACAGAAAAUACAGGAUCAUCAAUCAAUGAUACAGUAAAUACA